GACGAACGCUGGCGGCGUGCCUAAUACAUGCAAGUAGAACGCACAGUUUAUACCGUAGCUUGCUACACCAUAAACUGUGAGUUGCGAACGGGUGAGUAACGCGUAGGUAACAUGACUGGUAUCGGUGGAUAACUAUUGGAAACGAUAGCUAAGAUCUCAUAAUCUUGAUUAUUGCAUGAUAAUUGAUUGAAAUAUGCUAUUGCAUCACUACCAGAUGGACCUGCGUUGUAUUAGCUAGUAGGUGAGGUAACGGCUCACCUAGGCGAUGAUACAUAGCCGACCUUGAAGGGUGAUCGGCCACAACGGGACUGAGAAACGGCCCAGACUCCUACGGGAGGCAGCCGUAGGGAAUCUUCGGCCAUGGACGAAAGUCUGAACGAACAACGGCGCGGGAGUGAAGAAAGUUUUCGGAUCGUAAAGCUCUGUUGUUAGAGAAGGACGGGAGGGAGAGUGGAAAGUUCACACUGUGACGGUAUCUUACCAGAAAGGGACGGCUAACUACGUG
Molecule: ribosomal RNA, 505 nt
Filed under: uncultured bacterium
Lineage: Bacteria
Description: partial 16S ribosomal RNA
Rfam family: Bacterial small subunit ribosomal RNA
Source: RNAcentral